UCGCUACAUUAAAACACUGUUUGGAACCCCUAUUGGUAUAAAAGGAAAUUAACUGCUUAAGACAAUAAAAAGGAAGAUAGCUACACGGAAAAAAAAAGGAGAAAGAGAGACCGAGAGACAGAGAAAUAGAGAGGCAGAGAACGCAGAAGGAGAGAGAGAUCGAGAGAUCAAAAACUGCACGCUCUAAAAAUUGAAACCCAAAACACACAAUCAUCCAUUCUUUCCAUUUGUUAACACAAACGGCCAAAAGAAAAGAUUUUCCCUGCCGAUGAAAAAGAAAAAACAGAAGCCCAUUGACAUAUUUCCACGGUUUGCAAUCAAGAAUGAAAAGAAGUCUCUCACUUUCCUGUCAGAUUUCUUCAUCUAACUGUCCAUUAAUUUCUUUCACCGUUUGACAUUCUCAUCUGCACGCCCUCAAGUUCAACCAGGUACCAAUUUCGAAUCGAUCAGAUUCCAGAUCGUUUAGAUCUACUUUGAUUUUUUUUCGUUUUUGUCAGAUCUAGGGUUUGUAAUCUGCUCUUUGGAUGAAUAUAUUGCUUUUGUUUAUUGGUGGUGUUAGUACUCUACUUUGAAUAUUCCGAUUUCAAUGUAUUUCUCCCUGAACUGUUCACAUUCUAGAUUUCGGAAUCGGAAUGAUUGUGUUAGUGAAAUGAGCUGCAUCACUUCCCAAUGAAAACUUCAAAGUCACUGUAACUGAGACCUGCUCUUCCACCCUGUUUCGUUUCUUCUCUGUAACUCCAUACACACAUGGUCAGAAUAGCGUGGUUAAUUUCCCUCUUUCGGAUACUCUCUCUGAUGAUUUGGCCCACUUUUUAACUGUUUGCAUGUUCCGUUCCAGACCAACAGACAGAGGAAAAAAGAAAAUCCAAAAGGAACUAGAUUCUCUCGACAUUAUUAGACUUUUCACUUUUGUUAGGUGCAAACUGGAAUUUUGUGUAUGGACAUGAUGCUAUAGAUUUCUGGUGGGCAUCAGUAUAGCCAAUUCAUAUUUCAUGGGGCUGGUAUCUCACCCUUUCAAUUGCCAGGUGCUCUAUACAAAGGCAUAUAUUAAUUUUGAAAUAUCAAAGGGUGUGGUUGAAUGGAUCAAAGAGCUUGAUGAGAGACUUAUAGACAUAUUAAAGCAUUUGAAGGUCUGGAUAAGCCAUAAAAAGUUGGAGGUUACUUUUAACUUUGUGCCAAGAUAGAGUAAACCACUCAAAUUUCUUAUAUUGGUGUACUGUUUUAAGAGAUUUGAGCUUUUAUAGGACUUUGAACUUCUGUUAAUAUUCAUGUAUUACUUAAGGGUUUUUUUUGCAUGGAAACUUCCAUAUGGAUCUAACAUUUCUUUAUUGUUAUAUUUUUUUAAUUAUGUUUUAAUUACUUGAAUUUUUUCCUUGAAUUAGAAGCAUAUAAGUUUG
This is a long non-coding RNA of Quercus lobata, 1397 nucleotides long. RefSeq lists it as uncharacterized. The transcript is spliced from 4 exons. The record is from RefSeq and is a predicted model, not a curated record. NCBI's taxonomy places the organism in Eukaryota, Viridiplantae, Streptophyta, Magnoliopsida, Fagales, Fagaceae.